Molecule: long non-coding RNA, 277 nt
Organism: Sardina pilchardus (European sardine)
Lineage: Eukaryota; Metazoa; Chordata; Actinopteri; Clupeiformes; Clupeidae
Exons: 3
Source: RefSeq, a predicted model, not a curated record
UCAAAGUUCUGCCAUUGCAACCAUAGAGAAGAUGAUUCAAGAAAAUAACUAUAGGCAUGUUAUAUAUAAUAUGCAUGGUCAAACUGGAAAAGAGAGGCACAGUGAAAAUAUAAUUGAAGGAAAGCAAUUUGACACCAUUCAACAACAUAGGGAAAAAGAGUUGUAUAAGAGAAGAGCUUCAUCGAGACAUCCAACCCUAUCCCAGAUGCACCUGGUUUUGUGUGGACGCAAUGCAGCUGUAAAGGCAUCAGCAGCAGACCUGAUAUUCAGCAAGUCA